AACGUAGGUGGCAAGCGUUAUCCGGAUUUACUGGGCGUAAAGCGUGUGCAGGCGGGUGGACCAGGGGGGUAUGAAAUCGCCAGGCUAAACCUGGCGGGGUUAUGCCAGACUGUUUAUCUGGAGUGCGAGAGAGGGGCGUGGAAUUCCGGGUGUAGUGGUGAAAUGCGUAGAGAUCCGGAGGAACCCCAGAGGCGAAGGCGGCGCCCUGGCUCGCAACUGACGCUCAGACACGACAGCAUGGGGAGCGAACGGG
This 253-nucleotide ribosomal RNA is filed under the name uncultured bacterium. Its description in RNAcentral is "partial 16S ribosomal RNA". It matches the Rfam family "Bacterial small subunit ribosomal RNA", at positions 524 to 776 of the family's 1533-position model. The record is from RNAcentral.